This 473-nucleotide ribosomal RNA is filed under the name uncultured bacterium. RNAcentral's name for it is "bacterial SSU rRNA". It matches the Rfam family "Bacterial small subunit ribosomal RNA", at positions 355 to 825 of the family's 1533-position model. The record is from RNAcentral.
UGGGGAAUUGUUCACAAUGGGCGCAAGCCUGAUGACGCAACGCCGCGUGGGGGAUGAAGGUCUUCGGAUCGUAAACCCCUGUCGAAUGGGACGAAUAGCCCGCGAAUUAAUACCUCGUGGGAAUGACGGUACCGUUAAAGGAAGCCACGGCUAACUCUGUGCCAGCAGCCGCGGUAAUACAGAGGUGGCAAGCGUUGUUCGGAAUUACUGGGCGUAAAGGGCGCGUAGGCGGCCUUCUAAGUCGGACGUGAAAGCCCCAGGCUUAACCUGGGAACUGCGUCCGAUACUGGGAGGCUUGGAUUCGGGAGAGGGAUGUGGAAUUCCAGGUGUAGCGGUGAAAUGCGUAGAUAUCUGGAGGAACACCGGUGGCGAAGGCGGCAUCCUGGACCGAGAUCGACGCUGAGGCGCGAAAGCUAGGGGAGCAAACGGGAUUAGAUACCCCGGUAGUCCCUGAGCGGGCUGGCAAGGCGCAU